AGGUCCUUUACUUCCUCCUGCAGCACAGCCUGGAGCCUGACUCCUGCACUUGGUAGUUGAAAUAAAAACAUCCGACCGUCCAUAGUGAAGGAUUGUCAGAGGAAGAGGAGGACACGCCCCGCUCAGGUUGGCCGGAAGCCUUCCCAAUAGCCAAAGCAAAUGCCAAGAAUACGGCAAAGUGAAGUCAGUGAACUGAUAUGCAGAUCCUGACUGACAGCUUGCAGCCCGGAGACUGGGUGGUCAUAAAGAGGCAUGUGAGAAAGCACUAGAUCCAAGAUUCGAUGGUCCCUUUCAAGUACUGUUGACCACCCACACCGCUGUAAAGGUUGUAGGAAAACUCAACUGGAUACACGCUUCUCACUGCAAGAAAGUCUUGGAACCACAAGAUGAAGGUCCUUCUGCUGACAGUGGCUCUGACCCUGAGCGUGUCGGCAGUGUUUCGUCCACUGAAUGAUGAAUGGGACAAUGCUUUGAUACGGCACCAUCAGGUGCUGUUUGAAGGAAUGAAUGAAAAGUGAUAGACUGUUGGAUCUGUACUCACAGUCCUGCGAGUUCAGCCAGUAUGCCCUAUUUCGCCGUGCCCCUCAGUUUUUCUGAAUUGACUAAACUGGCCAACUCUACUAUCUUUUUGUAGAAAUAGGUUGGUGGUUGGCUCACACCUGGGUAGUUAUGGUCGGGUGCUGCUAACUCACAACUUGGGUGCCCGGACCCAAAGAAAAUGUGGAUAGUGGGAAAGAAAGGAGUGACCACUCACACCAUCUGGACUAUAGGAUAUAUUUAUUGAAUAGGACCUGUUGUGUCCAAUAAAUCAUUCAUAUAUAUGCACUCAAACAAUAAAAACUAAUAGUUGGUACCAACACAUAAAAUUGUACUGAUAAACGGUGGGUGUGCAAUCCUCAUGCCGUUAAUGUUCAAGAUUGGCACUUUGCACCGCCUAGAAUCUUGCAGUAAAUAAACCACUGUUGGUAUUGGUAAUACCGCAAACCGCAGUCGGAAAUUGAAAUGUCCCGAAAGAAAAUACCUGUAGCUCCAAAUGGUAUUUUAAGUCUCCUCGUGCAUGUAGAUAUAUAUUUUGACAAGAAAGUCUCUCCCAAGUUACUUUGGCAUAACCGCCCAGAACUAUAGAUUUCAAGCCACUUUGUGCUAAAUUAGCAGUUUAAGUUCAUACCUGGUUCCAAAUUGUCCCCCGCUAAGCCGUCCUUCCACGAGGAGCGAGUGAUGCCGGCUGCUACGGCGUCUCACGUCGCAAAUCUCGGGUUGCUGACGUCAC
Bufo gargarizans (Asiatic toad) is the source of this 1270-nucleotide long non-coding RNA. RefSeq lists it as uncharacterized. The transcript has 3 exons. The record is from RefSeq and is a predicted model, not a curated record. NCBI's taxonomy places the organism in Eukaryota, Metazoa, Chordata, Amphibia, Anura, Bufonidae.